CAGCAGGCGGCACGGGGCUGAAUCAGCGGGCGUGCUUAUAGAGCCGCGCCGCACCGCACCGCAUCGCAUUGUGUUGCACCGCACCGCACCGCCAUGGAGCUGCCGUGGCUGGGCCGGCACUGCUCGGAGCGGACAUGCAGGCAGCUCGAUUUCCUUCCUCUGAAAUGUGACGCGUGUGGAGAAGUCUUCUGUAAGGACCACAUCCGCUAUGAUGGGCACAGCUGCAGCUCUGCCUACAAGAAAAAUGUGCAGGUUCCAGUGUGUCCGCUCUGUAAUGCACCUGUCCCUGUCCAGAAGGGUGAAGUACCAGAUAUUGUGGUUGGAGCCCACAUGGAUAAGGACUGCAAAUACAAUCCAGCACAGCAAAAGAUCUUCACAAACAAGUGUUUAAAGCCAGGCUGCAAAAGGAAAGAGAUGAUGAAAGUAGUUUGUGAGCAGUGUGGUGGCAACUUCUGCAUAAAGCAUCGGCAUCCUCUGGAUCAUGACUGUAAAGCAAGCAGCCGCCCCAUCUCCAAGGCUGGGCAGACAAGACAUCCUUGUUCUGUGCAGUAGGAGUGUAAAACUUGCGUGUCAGAUGCAGACAAUUAAACUGGAUGGAAGAGUGAGACUGAAGGUGCAGAUGAUAGAGGCUCUUCACAUCUGGAUCAAACCUUUGUCUACUUUUAAGUUGAUCUCAUCUGAAGCUCUUUUCUAUGCAAGUAAUUUAUUUUUUUGUACAAUCUCAACCUUUCAAUAAACUGUCACCCUUUCUAAGACUUUA
This is a non-coding RNA of Meleagris gallopavo (turkey), 760 nucleotides long. NCBI's taxonomy places the organism in Eukaryota, Metazoa, Chordata, Aves, Galliformes, Phasianidae. The record is from RefSeq and is a predicted model, not a curated record.